This 253-nucleotide ribosomal RNA is filed under the name uncultured bacterium. RNAcentral describes it as "partial 16S ribosomal RNA". It matches the Rfam family "Bacterial small subunit ribosomal RNA", at positions 524 to 776 of the family's 1533-position model. The record is from RNAcentral.
UACGUAGGGGGCAAGCGUUGUCCGGAUUUACUGGGCGUAGAGAGCGUGUAGGCGGCCAAACAGGUCCGUUGUGAAAACUGGAGGCUCAACCUCCAGACGUCGACGGAAACCGUGUGGCUAGAGUCCGGAAGAGGAGAGUGGAAUUCCUGGUGUAGCGGUGAAAUGCGCAGAUAUCAGGAAGAACACCAAUGGCGAAGGCAGCUCUCUGGGACGGUACUGACGCUGAGACGCGAAAGCGUGGGGAGCGAACAGG